GACGGAGAUGUUUUGAAAGCUUGCUGACAGACAUCUUAGUGGCGCACGGGUGAGUAACACGUGGGCAACCUACCCGGGAGUUCGGGAUAACAGUGCGAAAGUACUGCUAAUACCGGAUAUUUUCACGAAGCUGCAUGGUUUUGUGAAGAAAGUUUUUCGCUUCCGGAUGGGCCCGCGUCCCAUUAGCUAGUUGGUGAGGUAACAGCUCACCAAGGCGACGAUGGGUAGCUGGUCUGAGAGGACGGUCAGCCACACUGGAACUGAGACACGGUCCAGACUCCUACGGGAGGCAGCAGUGGGGAAUCUUGCGCAAUGGGCGGAAGCCUGACGCAGCAACGCCGCGUGAAUGAUGAAGGCCUUCGGGUUGUAAAGUUCUGUCAGGGGGGACGAUAAUGACGGUACCCCCGGAGGAAGCCCCGGCUAGCUACGUGCCAGCAGCCGCGGUAUACGUAAGGGGCGAGCGUUGUCCGGAAUUAUUGGGCGUAAAGGGCGUGUAGGCGGCCGAUCAAGUCUGGUGUGAAAAUCCUGGGCUUAACCCCGGAAGUGCAUUGGAAACUGGUUGGCUUGAGUGCGGGAGAGGAAAGUGGAAUUCCCAGUGUAGCGGUGAAAUGCGUAGAUUUGGGAGGAACACCAGUGGCGAAUGCGACUUUCUGGACUGCAACUGACGCUUAAGCGCGAAGCUAGGGGAGCAAACAGGAUUAGAUACCCUGGUAUCCUAGCCGUAAACGAUGGGUACUAGUGUAGGGGUUUAGACCCCUCUGUCCCCAGUUACGCACUAAGUACCCCGCCGGGGAGUACAGCUGCACGCUGAACUCAAUGAUUGAAGGG
This 828-nucleotide ribosomal RNA is filed under the name uncultured Bacillota bacterium. RNAcentral's name for it is "bacterial SSU rRNA". It matches the Rfam family "Bacterial small subunit ribosomal RNA", at positions 65 to 917 of the family's 1533-position model. The record is from RNAcentral. Lineage: Bacteria; Bacillati; Bacillota.